RNAcentral lists this ribosomal RNA (2906 nucleotides) under Yersinia pseudotuberculosis. RNAcentral describes it as "bacterial LSU rRNA". It matches the Rfam family "Bacterial large subunit ribosomal RNA". Lineage: Bacteria; Pseudomonadati; Pseudomonadota; Gammaproteobacteria; Enterobacterales; Yersiniaceae. The record is from RNAcentral.
UUAAGCGACUAAGCGUACACGGUGGAUGCCUAGGCAGUCAGAGGCGAUGAAGGGCGUGCUAAUCUGCGAAAAGCGUCGGUAAGCUGAUAUGAAGCGUUAUAACCGACGAUACCCGAAUGGGGAAACCCAGUGCAAUACGUUGCACUAUCGUUAGAUGAAUACAUAGUCUAACGAGGCGAACCGGGGGAACUGAAACAUCUAAGUACCCCGAGGAAAAGAAAUCAACCGAGAUUCCCCCAGUAGCGGCGAGCGAACGGGGAGGAGCCCAGAGUCUGAAUCAGUUUGUGUGUUAGUGGAAGCGUCUGGAAAGUCGCACGGUACAGGGUGAUAGUCCCGUACACCAAAAUGCACAGGCUGUGAACUCGAUGAGUAGGGCGGGACACGUGACAUCCUGUCUGAAUAUGGGGGGACCAUCCUCCAAGGCUAAAUACUCCUGACUGACCGAUAGUGAACCAGUACCGUGAGGGAAAGGCGAAAAGAACCCCGGCGAGGGGAGUGAAAUAGAACCUGAAACCGUGUACGUACAAGCAGUGGGAGCACCUUCGUGGUGUGACUGCGUACCUUUUGUAUAAUGGGUCAGCGACUUAUAUUUUGUAGCAAGGUUAACCGAAUAGGGGAGCCGUAGGGAAACCGAGUCUUAACUGGGCGUCUAGUUGCAAGGUAUAGACCCGAAACCCGGUGAUCUAGCCAUGGGCAGGUUGAAGGUUGGGUAACACUAACUGGAGGACCGAACCGACUAAUGUUGAAAAAUUAGCGGAUGACUUGUGGCUGGGGGUGAAAGGCCAAUCAAACCGGGAGAUAGCUGGUUCUCCCCGAAAGCUAUUUAGGUAGCGCCUCGUGAACUCAUCUUCGGGGGUAGAGCACUGUUUCGGCUAGGGGGCCAUCCCGGCUUACCAAACCGAUGCAAACUCCGAAUACCGAAGAAUGUUAUCACGGGAGACACACGGCGGGUGCUAACGUCCGUCGUGAAGAGGGAAACAACCCAGACCGCCAGCUAAGGUCCCAAAGUCAUGGUUAAGUGGGAAACGAUGUGGGAAGGCACAGACAGCCAGGAUGUUGGCUUAGAAGCAGCCAUCAUUUAAAGAAAGCGUAAUAGCUCACUGGUCGAGUCGGCCUGCGCGGAAGAUGUAACGGGGCUAAACCAUGCACCGAAGCUGCGGCAGCGACACUUAGGUGUUGUUGGGUAGGGGAGCGUUCUGUAAGCCGUUGAAGGUGACCUGUGAGGGUUGCUGGAGGUAUCAGAAGUGCGAAUGCUGACAUAAGUAACGAUAAUGCGGGUGAAAAACCCGCACGCCGGAAGACCAAGGGUUCCUGUCCAACGUUAAUCGGGGCAGGGUGAGUCGACCCCUAAGGCGAGGCUGAAAAGCGUAGUCGAUGGGAAACAGGUUAAUAUUCCUGUACUUGGUGUUACUGCGAAGGGGGGGACGGAGAAGGCUAGGCUGGCCGGGCGACGGUUGUCCCGGUUUAAGCGUGUAGGGGGAGUGACCAGGUAAAUCCGGUUGCUUAUCAACCCUGAGGCGUGAUGACGAUGCACUACGGUGCAGAAGCAGUUGAUGCCAUGCUUCCAGGAAAAGCCUCUAAGCAUCAGGUAACAUUAAAUCGUACCCCAAACCGACACAGGUGGUCAGGUAGAGAAUACUCAGGCGCUUGAGAGAACUCGGGUGAAGGAACUAGGCAAAAUGGUGCCGUAACUUCGGGAGAAGGCACGCUGGCGUUAGGUGAAAGGACUAGCUCCUGGAGCUGAAGCCAGUCGCAGAUACCAGCUGGCUGCAACUGUUUAAUAAAAACACAGCACUGUGCAAACACGAAAGUGGACGUAUACGGUGUGACGCCUGCCCGGUGCUGGAAGGUUAAUUGAUGGGGUCAGCCGCAAGGCGAAGCUCUUGAUCGAAGCCCCAGUAAACGGCGGCCGUAACUAUAACGGUCCUAAGGUAGCGAAAUUCCUUGUCGGGUAAGUUCCGACCUGCACGAAUGGCGUAAUGAUGGCCAGGCUGUCUCCACCCGAGACUCAGUGAAAUUGAACUCGCUGUGAAGAUGCAGUGUACCCGCGGCAAGACGGAAAGACCCCGUGAACCUUUACUAUAGCUUGACACUGAACAUUGAGCCUUGAUGUGUAGGAUAGGUGGGAGGCCUUGAAGUGUGGACGCCAGUCUGCAUGGAGCCAACCUUGAAAUACCACCCUUUAAUGUUUGAUGUUCUAACUCGGCCCCAUGAUCUGGGGUGAGGACAGUGUCUGGUGGGUAGUUUGACUGGGGCGGUCUCCUCCCAAAGAGUAACGGAGGAGCACGAAGGUUAGCUAAUCACGGUCGGACAUCGUGAGGUUAGUGCAAAGGCAUAAGCUAGCUUGACUGCGAGAGUGACGGCUCGAGCAGGUACGAAAGUAGGUCUUAGUGAUCCGGUGGUUCUGAAUGGAAGGGCCAUCGCUCAACGGAUAAAAGGUACUCCGGGGAUAACAGGCUGAUACCGCCCAAGAGUUCAUAUCGACGGCGGUGUUUGGCACCUCGAUGUCGGCUCAUCACAUCCUGGGGCUGAAGUAGGUCCCAAGGGUAUGGCUGUUCGCCAUUUAAAGUGGUACGCGAGCUGGGUUUAGAACGUCGUGAGACAGUUCGGUCCCUAUCUGCCGUGGGCGUUGGAAGAUUGAGAGGGGCUGCUCCUAGUACGAGAGGACCGGAGUGGACGAAUCACUGGUGUUCGGGUUGUCAUGCCAAUGGCAUUGCCCGGUAGCUAAAUUCGGAAGAGAUAACCGCUGAAAGCAUCUAAGCGGGAAACUUGCCUCGAGAUGAGUCUUCCCUGGGRCUUWAAGYCCCCUGAAGGAACGUUAAAGACUAUGACGUUGAUAGGCUGGGUGUGUAAGUGCAGCGAUGUAUUGAGCUAACCAGUACUAAUGAUCCGUGAGGCUUAACCUU